UCGAAGUCUCUGGUGCAUGUUGUUUACUGUUGUGUACUAUUAUGUUGUCAGGCUGUUUGUGUUGUUUUGACCAUUAUUAUAUGUUUCAUAGACGUUUUUAGUUACACUUUUUUUUGGCAUGAGUUGUCAGUAGAGGUCCGCUCUGUGACGUGCAUUCACACCGCACAGUUUGUGUAAACACUGUUUUUGUUUGCAUGUUUAGGAGCAGAUAAGGAAAGGUGACCAGAAGGUGAUUAAUGCAUUUUAAUCUCUUCUGCAGAAAAUAAAUGCUGGAAAACACUCAACCAAGUUGUCUUCCUUGAUGCACUAACCACAUGGACACGCAUAACCCCCGUUUGAGAGGAAAAUCAAAGCCAAAAUCUAAACUUGACUUAAACACUGUAGCAAUACAUGUUUAAACAGUUUAAUUUUUCAAACACUUCAUGAUCAACAGAUGAUGAAACAGAACAAAAAGAUCUUUUCAACAUAGACACCAUUCACUGAGAAGUCAAGACACAAAGAAACAUCCAAUCAGAACAUCAGGACACAAGACCUGUCCAAUCACAGCUCACUAUGCUGACAGGUGAGGAGCAGGACUUACGUCACAUCAACAGCAUCCUGUUAACAGAUAUGUUCAUUUAAAAGACACAUCGGACCUGACGGUGAAUCAGGUGACUGGGUUUACACUGAACAGAUACACGUGUGUGUGUGUUCAAGGGGGCAAAACAUUAUGAAUCUGCAACAGCUGUGAUCUGCUGAGAAGCUGAGUCUACUGAAGUAUCAGGUACCACGACAUCUGUAGAAGAUCUGGACUCUACUGCAGCCAACAAUGACCUGGUGCACUUUAAGUCUGGUUACUGGUCUGUCCCCCUUCAGCACUGCUGGCUAGGUCAACAAUAUAAGGUUUCUGAGAGUCCAGAACCCAACUGGACUGACCAUCUGGUCUCUGACUAAUACAUCCAGACAUGCUGCUACCUGAUAACAAGCUGAACAUUACUGAAGUCAGUCUAAAUAGUCACGGUGUCGUGGCUCAUUAUCAUGCCAUUAUUCUUAGUUAUAUUCCUGUCUUAAUUGUGUUGACUUCCCCUGAUCUGUUUCAUGAUGCCCCUGCAGGUAUUGGUUUUAAUUGGAUUUAACCUAUUUCACUUUUUAUAAUUUCUCAUGUGCAUUAGUCUCAAACUAUAAAGCACUAACUUGUAGGGAAGGCGCUGUACUAAGUGUGAUUGAUUAGCCUGGUCACUCCAUAGAGAUUGUCACAACAGAUACCUGUUUUGCACUGAUUUUUGUUUGAGUCCAGUUCAGUCCUGUUUUUCUUGAUUCAGUUCUUCAAAUAUCACAGUAAGACUCAGCCUAGCUUUGACCCAGUUCAGCAGGCCCAGAUAGCUUCGGCUCACCACAGAAAAUACACCGAUGGUGCUGGUCUGUGUCCUUUCCUGAAAAUCCAUAAAACACACAAACACAAAGUCCAGAAACAGUAGAACCACUGAGAUGCAAGGAUCCCAGUCUGGUGAUUCCAGUCCCAGUCUGGUUUCUGUAACAGCCAGGACAGUCUGAAACCAGGUUUCAUCAAUGAAAUCCAGUGUAUGAUCAGCUCAGUAUGGUGGGAGAGAACGCUGUAAAAGGUUUACUAAAUGUUCCUUAAGGUUUUGGAAUUUCCUGGAUGAGUUCUGCAGGGUUUCUAGAUGGCUCUGUACAGUUCAGUUCUCACAACAGAACUGUUCUCAUCUCAUCUUCCUAAGCCUGGUUCUGUUCUCUUUGUCUCUUUUCUUUAAGGAUGUGAUGUAAUGGGUGAACAGAAGUUCCUGUUCCUUCUUCCUGUUAAGGGCAUUGAAACGCUGGUCGCCACAGUAACGAGCACAGAACUCCUUAAAAGUUGAUCUGCAGAGAAAAAUCAACACAAACAUGAAUAUUAGGGUUUUGUCCUGAGUACCGAGGGUUUAAGCAUCAUGCAGAUGAUUGAACACUCUGAAGUCAGUUUAUUUCUGAUUAUGGAUUUGUUGAAGACAAAUCAUCAGUAUUAAUGCCAACUGUAAAUAAAACAGGAGCCACAUGCACAAAACUAUAAUGACAAAAAUGAUAUUCUUCUGUCUUCAGGUUCUGUUGCACAGAAUAAAAAUAAAUGAUUAAA
Molecule: long non-coding RNA, 2107 nt
Organism: Amphiprion ocellaris (clown anemonefish)
Lineage: Eukaryota; Metazoa; Chordata; Actinopteri; Pomacentridae
Exons: 2
Source: RefSeq, a predicted model, not a curated record